Molecule: ribosomal RNA, 497 nt
Filed under: uncultured bacterium
Lineage: Bacteria
Description: partial 16S ribosomal RNA
Rfam family: Bacterial small subunit ribosomal RNA
Source: RNAcentral
GAUGAACGCUGGCGGCGUGCCUAAUACAUGCCAGUCGAGCGAACAGACGAGGAGCUUGCUCCUCUGACGUUAGCGGCGGACGGGUGAGUAACACGUGGAUAACCUACCUAUAAGACUGGGAUAACUUCGGGAAACCGGAGCUAAUACCGGAUAAUAUAUUGAACCGCAUGGUUCAAUAGUGAAAGACGGUUUUGCUGUCACUUAUAGAUGGAUCCGCGCCGCAUUAGCUAGUUGGUAAGGUAACGGCUUACCAAGGGAACGAUGCGUAGCCGACCUGAGAGGGUGAUCGGCCACACUGGAACUGAGACACGGUCCAGACUCCUACGGGAGGCAGCAGUAGGGAAUCUUCCGCAAUGGGCGAAAGCUUGACGGAGCAACGCCGCGUGAGUGAUGAAGGUCUUCGGAUCGUAAAACUCUGUUAUUAGGGAAGAACAAAUGUGUAAGUAACUAUGCACGUCUUGACGGUACCUAAUCAGAAAGCCACGGCUAACUACGUG